This 113-nucleotide ribosomal RNA is filed under the name Blechnopsis orientalis. RNAcentral also lists the same sequence under 3 other names. The record is from RNAcentral. Lineage: Eukaryota; Viridiplantae; Streptophyta; Polypodiopsida; Polypodiales; Blechnaceae.
CCGGGCAUCCUAGUAAGACGCGGAACACCCGAUCCCAUUCCGACCUCGAUAUGUGAAAAGCGUUUUCUACCAUAUGUACUGAUAAUUUUCGGGAGACGUGGUUGACAGCCCGG